GUGGGGAAUAUUGGACAAUGGGGGGAACCCUGAUCCAGCCAUGCCGCGUGUGUGAAGAAGGCCUUUUGGUUGUAAAGCACUUUAAGCGAGGAGGAGGCUACCGAGAUUAAUACUCUUGGAUAGUGGACGUUACUCGCAGAAUAAGCACCGGCUAACUCUGUGCCAGCAGCCGCGGUAAUACAGAGGGUGCGAGCGUUAAUCGGAUUUACUGGGCGUAAAGCGUGCGUAGGUGGCCAAUUAAGUCAAAUGUGAAAUCCCCGAGCUUAACUUGGGAAUUGCAUUCGAUACUGGUUGGCUAGAGUAUGGGAGAGGAUGGUAGAAUUCCAGGUGUAGCGGUGAAAUGCGUAGAGAUCUGGAGGAAUACCGAUGGCGAAGGCAGCCAUCUGGCCUAAUACUGACACUGAGGUGCGAAAGCGUGGGGAGCAAACAGGAUUAGAAACCCCUGUAGUCC
RNAcentral lists this ribosomal RNA (451 nucleotides) under uncultured bacterium. Its description in RNAcentral is "partial 16S ribosomal RNA". It matches the Rfam family "Bacterial small subunit ribosomal RNA", at positions 354 to 796 of the family's 1533-position model. The record is from RNAcentral.